RNAcentral lists this transfer RNA (71 nucleotides) under Ruidocollaris obscura. RNAcentral describes it as "tRNA-Lys". It matches the Rfam family "tRNA". From Rfam's summary of the family: Transfer RNA (tRNA) molecules are approximately 80 nucleotides in length. Their secondary structure includes four short double-helical elements and three loops (D, anti-codon, and T loops). Further hydrogen bonds mediate the characteristic L-shaped molecular structure. tRNAs have two regions of fundamental functional importance: the anti-codon, which is responsible for specific mRNA codon recognition, and the 3' end, to which the tRNAs corresponding amino acid is attached (by aminoacyl-tRNA synthetases). tRNAs cope with the degeneracy of the genetic code in two manners: having more than one tRNA (with a specific anti-codon) for a particular amino acid; and 'wobble' base-pairing, i.e. permitting non-standard base-pairing at the 3rd anti-codon position. Lineage: Eukaryota; Metazoa; Arthropoda; Insecta; Orthoptera; Tettigoniidae. The record is from RNAcentral.
CAUUAGAUGGCUGAAGGUAAAGCAAUGGUCUCUUAAACCAUUUUAUAGUAAACUACACUUACUUCUAAUGA